AUGCCCAUCCCAAGAUGGCGGAGAUCCCCCUGUACUUUGUGGACUUGCAGGAUGACUUAGACGACUAUGGAUUUGAAGACUAUGGUACAGAUUGCGACAACAUGAGAGUAACGGCCUUCUUGGACAUUCCAGGCCAGGAUAACCUGCCUCCACUCACUCGCCUGGAGAAGUAUGCUUUCAGCGAGAACACCUUCAACCGGCAGAUUAUUGCCAGAGGGCUGCUUGAUAUCUUCCGGGACUUCGGUAACAAUGAAGAAGACUUCCUCACGGUAAUGGAGAUUGUAGUCAGAUUGUCAGAAGAUGCAGAUAAUCUGCAAAAUGGCUUCAAUGCUGAGUAAGAGUACCGUUGAACGCCUGCUACUCCCCCGAUUCUGUGAACUGUGUGGUGACAGGAAGCUCUUUCAAGUUCGGAAGGUUUGUGCUGCAAAUUUUGGUGAUAUUUGUCAUGCUGUUGGACAAGAAGCCACUGAGAAAUUUUUGAUCCCAAAGUUCUUUGAGCUCUGCUCUGAUGCUGUUUGGGGCAUGCGGAAAGCCUGUGCAGAAUGCUUCACGGCUGUGUCGCACAGCUCCUCCCCUGGGGUCCGCAGAACCCAGCUCUUCCCGCUCUUCAUCAGACUUGUCAGCGACCCCUGCCGAUGGGUGCACCAGGCUGCCUUCCAGUCCCUCGGCCCCUUCACUUCCACCUUUGCAAACCCCUCCAGGGCUGGCCUUUAUCUUCGAGAGGAUGGCGCCCUGAGCAUCUGGCCACUCACCCAGGAUUUGGACUCUGGUUUUGCCUCUGGCUCCCCUGCUCCCAGCAGUGGUGGUAACACUUCCCCUGCCAGUUUAACUCGUUCAGCAAAGCCUGUGCGGAGCGAGCCAGAGCUACCUGUGGAAGGGACCUCAGCGAAAACCAGUGAUUGCCCACACAGCAGUAGCUCCUCUGACGGCCCAGCGGAAAGCCCUGUGGAAAGCUGUGUGUCGGCUGGAGCUGAGUGGACCAGGGUUUCCCCAGAGACCAGCGCCUGCUCAAAGCUUUCUGACAUGAAUGACCUCCCCAUCAGCAGCUACCCUGGAUCAGAUUCCUGGGCCUGCCCAGGGAACACUGAGGAUGUGUUCAGUCAUUUUCUUUAUUGGUGAACUCCUCUCCCUGACAUAAGCAAGGACUUAGAGCUGCUUCUGAGUGAGGCUGGGCCUCAGGAGGACGACUGCAGCAGACCUGGGGUUGUGCACAACAGCUGUGUGGCCCGGAGUGAGAUUCAGAAAGUCCUUGGUAGCUUGCAGGAGCAUCUGAUGAAUGAUCCAGAUGUUCAAGCUCAAGUUCAGGUAUUAUCCGCUGCACUGAGAGCUGCACAGCUCGACUGCGUGAAUGAAGCUGAGAGCAAGCCAACAGCAGGCCUAAAGGAAGUGUCCAUUUCACAUCCCAGCUCUGCCUCUGACAAUCAGAUCGCUCUGGCGGCCUCAUCAUCUCAGGAUGAGCUCUUUGUGGCCAGGAUAUUACAAAGCCCAGAUCCAGGUGGACCCAGAAAUGGAACCAGUGACCAUCUGGAGACUGACCAGAGGCAGGAUCCCACCCCACUUGAAGAGAAUAAAUCUAAAUUACAGGAUGUAAUACCUCAGCCGCUGCUAGAUCAGUAUGUGUCCAUGACUGACCCAGCUCGAGCCCAGACUGUCGAUACUGACAUAGCCAAACACUGUGCCUACAGCCUCCCAGGGGUGGCACUGACCCUGGGCAGGCAAAAUUGGCACUGCCUGAAAGAUACAUAUGAAACACUGGCUUCUGAUGUACAGUGGAAGGUACGGCGAGCCCUAGCCUUCUCCAUUCACGAGCUGGCUGUGAUUCUUGGGGAUCAGUUAACAGCAGCUGACCUGGUGCCUAUCUUCAAUGGAUUUUUAAAGGAUCUGGAUGAAGUGCGAAUAGGAGUUCUUAGACACCUGUAUGAUUUUCUAAAGUUGCUUCAUGAAGACAAGAGGAGAGACUAUCUUUAUCAGCUUCAAGAAUUUGUAGUGACUGAUAACAGCAGGAAUUGGAGGUUUCGAUAUGAACUAGCAGAGUAAGUAAAAACAUAUUUGGGGAUAUGAGAAAGCAAACUAGAUGGAAUAAAUCUUAAUUUUCUUACCAUAUAAUUGAUUUCUAAAGCAGCAGCAAUAGUGUUCUUUUAGAUAAAGAGAUUAUGUUUUUAUUAAGGUAUAAACAGAAUUCCAAAAACCCUGAGUUACAAAUACCACAGUCUCCGGGGAGACAUUCAUUUUCAGAUGAAGACAGGGCUUGAGUCACUUUCGAAUUAGAGUGUUCUGCUGUUCUAGAAGGCAAUUUAUUUGAACCAAAUAAAAGAUGAAUCACCC
Homo sapiens (human) is the source of this 2325-nucleotide long non-coding RNA. The record is from Ensembl. Lineage: Eukaryota; Metazoa; Chordata; Mammalia; Primates; Hominidae.